RNAcentral lists this ribosomal RNA (486 nucleotides) under uncultured bacterium. RNAcentral's name for it is "partial 16S ribosomal RNA". It matches the Rfam family "Bacterial small subunit ribosomal RNA", at positions 30 to 507 of the family's 1533-position model. The record is from RNAcentral.
AUUGAACGCUGGCGGCAUGCCUUACACAUGCCAGUCGAACGGCAGCACGGGUGCUUGCACCUGGUGGCGAGUGGCGAACGGGUGAGUAAUACAUCGGAACAUGUCCUGUAGUGGUGGAUAGCCCGGCGAAAGCCGGAUUAAUACCGCAUACGAUCUACGGAUGAAAGCGGGGGACCUUCGGGCCUCGCGCUAUAGGGUUGGCCGAUGGCUGAUUAGCUAGUUGGUGGGGUAAAGGCCUACCAAGGCGACGAUCAGUAGCUGGUCUGAGAGGACGACCAGCCACACUGGGACUGAGACACGGCCCAGACUCCUACGGGAGGCAGCAGUGGGGAAUUUUGGACAAUGGGCGAAAGCCUGAUCCAGCAAUGCCGCGUGUGUGAAGAAGGCCUUCGGGUUGUAAAGCACUUUUGUCCGGAAAGAAAUCCUUGGCCCUAAUACGGUCGGGGGAUGACGGUACCGGAAGAAUAAGCACCGGCUAACUACGUG